RNAcentral lists this long non-coding RNA (456 nucleotides) under Lotus japonicus. RNAcentral's name for it is "long non-coding RNA (LJAP_LNC000842)". Lineage: Eukaryota; Viridiplantae; Streptophyta; Magnoliopsida; Fabales; Fabaceae. The record is from RNAcentral.
AAAAAAUUCUGCAAAUGUAUAAUCUAUUAUUAUUGUUAUGCCUAUGUGGUGUGCAAAAUGGUCACCCUUAGAAGAAAAAAAAAACGAAAAAGAAGAAAGUGGAGAAAGAAUGUCAGUAAUGUAAUAGUAUCAUGAUUUGUGGUUGUUUUCUCUAUCCAUUAAGCUAAGUGAAGGGAUAGGGCAAUUUGUAAAGGGUUUUAGUAACGGGGCAAGUGUAGAAGGUUUAUUCUCUACCGAGGUUGAAGUGGUUUAAGUUUAGUUUUUAUCAAAUGUGCAUGCUGAAAUUUACGUCCUAAUUUUUUCAAUCAGGAAUUAAAUUCGUUAAACUAUUUCGUUACUACUCAGCUCAACCACUACAAAUACAUGUUUUGGUUGCUCUAUAAGUUAAGCAAUACUCAUGAUUAUUCUAAGACUUUGAAUAUCUCUAUCAUUAUCUGAUCUUAAACUUCCUUGAGC